Molecule: ribosomal RNA, 254 nt
Filed under: uncultured bacterium
Lineage: Bacteria
Description: partial 16S ribosomal RNA
Rfam family: Bacterial small subunit ribosomal RNA
Source: RNAcentral
UACGUAGGCAGCGAGCGUUGUUCGGAGUUACUGGGCGUAAAGGGUGUGUAGGCGGUUGUUUAAGUUUGGUGUGAAAUCUCCCGGCUCAACUGGGAGGGUGCGCCGAAUACUGAAUGACUUGGAGUGCGGGAGAGGAAAGUGGAAUUCCUGGUGUAGCGGUGAAAUGCGUAGAUAUCAGGAGAAACACCGGUGGUGUAGACGGCUUUCUGGACCGUAACUGACGCUGAGACACGAAAGCGUGGGUAGCAAACAGG